GAACCGCGUGAAGGAUCAUUAACGAGAGGGGUUUUCGGACCCCGGGGCUUCGGCCCCUAACUCUUCACCCUCUGUUUACGUACCAUUGUUGCUUUGGCGGGCCCUGGGCUUCGCCCCUGGCCGGCCGGUGGCUUAGCGGCCCCGGCUCGCUCGUGCCCGCCAGAGGCCCAUUAAACCCAACCUUAUCCUUGAUGUCCGAGCAAAAACACAAUCGUAAAAACUUUCAACAACGGAUCUCUUGGUUCUGGCAUCGAUGAAGAACGCAGCGAAAUGCGAUAAGUAAUGUGAAUUGCAGAAUUCAGUGAAUCAUCGAAUCUUUGAACGCACAUUGCGCCCCUCGGUAUUCCGGGGGGCAUGCCUGUUCGAGCGUCAUUACACCCCUCAAGCUUCGCUUGGUAUUGGGUCAUCGCCCUUCGGGGCGAGCCCGAAAGUCAGUGGCGGCCCGGCGUGACUUCGAGCGUAGUAAUCUUUCUCCCGCUCUGGAAGCUCGCGCCGUGACCGGUCAGAACGCCCAAACUUCAAAUGAUUGACCUCGGAUCAGGUAGGGAUACCCGCUGAACUUAA
This 564-nucleotide ribosomal RNA is filed under the name Protoparmeliopsis muralis. Its description in RNAcentral is "eukaryotic LSU rRNA". The stretch from base 219 to 372 matches the Rfam family "5.8S ribosomal RNA". The record is from RNAcentral. Lineage: Eukaryota; Fungi; Ascomycota; Lecanoromycetes; Lecanorales; Lecanoraceae.